RNAcentral lists this ribosomal RNA (436 nucleotides) under uncultured bacterium. Its description in RNAcentral is "partial 16S ribosomal RNA". It matches the Rfam family "Bacterial small subunit ribosomal RNA", at positions 29 to 507 of the family's 1533-position model. The record is from RNAcentral.
AACGAACGCUGGCGGCAUGCCUAACACAUGCAAGUCGAACGAGAUCCUUCGGGGUCUAGUGGCGCACGGGUGCGUAACGCGUGGGAAUCUGCCCUUAGGUUCGGAAUAACAGUUAGAAAUGACUGCUAAUACCGGAUGAUGACGUUAAGUCCAAAGAUUUAUCGCCUGAGGAUGAGCCCGCGUAGGAUUAGCUAGUUGGUGUGGUAAAGGCGCACCAAGGCGACGAUACUUAGCUGGUCUGAGAGGAUGAUCAGCGACACUGGGACUGGGACACAGCCCAGACUCCUACGGGAGGCAGCAGUGGGGGAUAUUGGACAAUCGGCGCAAUCAUGAUCCAGCAAUGCCGCGUGAGUGAUGAAGGCGGUAGAGUUGUAAAGCUCUUUUACCCGGGAUGAUAAUGACGGUACCGGGAGAAUAAGCCCCGGCUAACUCCGUG